Molecule: non-coding RNA, 123 nt
Organism: Picea glauca (white spruce)
Lineage: Eukaryota; Viridiplantae; Streptophyta; Pinopsida; Pinales; Pinaceae
Source: Rfam
AUGUGCAUUCCUACAACAUAGAAUUAAUGCAUCGGAUUCCAUUAUAACUCCACAGUUAAGUGUGCUCGGUCUAGAGUAGUACUGGGAUGGGUGAUCACUCAGGAAGUACUAGUAUUUUACAUG